This 29-nucleotide non-coding RNA is filed under the name Rattus norvegicus (Norway rat). The record is from RNAcentral. Lineage: Eukaryota; Metazoa; Chordata; Mammalia; Rodentia; Muridae.
UGAAAAGUAAGGGUACAUGUCCCUGGAGG